UUAAUUUUAGGUUAAUUCAGACACAGACAUGUAGCAUAAAUACGACGCAUUGCGCCGAAGCACAGCUAUAUUCCACGGGUUUUGAGGUUGAAGGCCGAAGCCAUUCGUUAAUGAUCCCUCCGCAGGUUCACCUACGGAGA
Molecule: unclassified non-coding RNA, 140 nt
Filed under: uncultured fungus
Lineage: Eukaryota; Fungi
Description: sequence contains ITS1
Source: RNAcentral